RNAcentral lists this ribosomal RNA (468 nucleotides) under uncultured bacterium. RNAcentral's name for it is "partial 16S ribosomal RNA". It matches the Rfam family "Bacterial small subunit ribosomal RNA", at positions 28 to 507 of the family's 1533-position model. The record is from RNAcentral.
GACGAACGCUGGCGGUGUGCUUAACACAUGCAAGUCGAACGGAAAGGCCCUGCUUUUGUGGGGUGCUCGAGUGGCGAACGGGUGAGUAACACGUGAGUAACCUGCCCUUGACUUUGGGAUAACUUCAGGAAACUGGGGCUAAUACCUGAUAGGAGCUCCUGCUGCAUGGUGGGGGUUGGAAAGUUUCGGCGGUUGGGGAUGGACUCGCGGCUUAUCAGCUUGUUGGUGGGGUAGUGGCUUACCAAGGCUUUGACGGGUAGCCGGCCUGAGAGGGUGACCGGCCACAUUGGGACUGAGAUACGGCCCAGACUCCUACGGGAGGCAGCAGUGGGGAAUAUUGCACAAUGGGCGGAAGCCUGAUGCAGCAACGCCGCGUGCGGGAUGAAGGCCUUCGGGUUGUAAACCGCUUUCGCCUGUGACGAAGCGUGAGUGACGGUAAUGGGUAAAGAAGCACCGGCUAACUACGUG